AAGCUAAAUUUAUACUUAUAAAAUGCAAAAAACUCAUCAUGGGCUUGUAACCAUUGAAGAUGCUUUUAGAACUUUUUUUCAAAAAUAAAAUAAGAAAAUUGGCUUUGUAGAAGACAAGGCACUCAAUUAAUGGCGGCCCAUAUUUUUUAAAUAGCCCAAGAGCACACUAUGCCGUUUUCGUUUUAGGUUCCGUCCAAAAAUUAACAAUAUUUUCGUCGAAGUUUUUCAUUUUGAUUUUACUCCCUUUUUAUGUCAUUUGGAGUUUUUGUUACAUUUCUUUUUCUUAUAUCUCUUGUUUUUUAACGCAAUUUAUUUUGAUUCUAGUAGUUAAAUCUUGUAUUCAUUUUU
Molecule: small RNA, 348 nt
Filed under: Arabidopsis thaliana (thale cress)
Lineage: Eukaryota; Viridiplantae; Streptophyta; Magnoliopsida; Brassicales; Brassicaceae
Description: ATSL013430
Source: RNAcentral